This 253-nucleotide ribosomal RNA is filed under the name uncultured bacterium. RNAcentral describes it as "partial 16S ribosomal RNA". It matches the Rfam family "Bacterial small subunit ribosomal RNA", at positions 524 to 776 of the family's 1533-position model. The record is from RNAcentral.
UACGUAGGGGGCAAGCGUUGUCCGGAAUCAUUGGGCGUAAAGCGCGCGUAGGCGGCCCGGUAAGUCCGCUGUGAAAGUCAAAGGCUCAACCUUUGAAUGUCAGCGGAUACUGCCGGGCUAGAGUCCGGAAGAGGCGAGUGGAACUCCUGGUGUAGCGGUGGAAUGCGCAGAUAUCAGGAGGAACACCGGUGGCGAAGGCGGGUCUCUGGGCCGAUACUGACGCUGAGGAGCGAAAGCGUGGGGAGCGAACAGG